UUUGUUUUUUAAUAAAAACUAGAAUGAAAGGUUAUACAUUUAAAUUUCUUUAUUAAUUUCUUAUAUAUAAUUUAUAUUAAAUAUAAAAAUAUAUUUUUUAAAUAAAAAGACGAUAAGACCCUAUUAAAUUUUACUUAUAGUUUAACUGGGGAAGUUUUAAAAAUAAAAUUUUUUAUAAAAAUAAAAAUAAAUCUAAUAAAAUUAAAAUUAAAUUAAAUUACUAUAGGGAUAACAGCAUUAUAUUUUUUAAAAGUUCAUAUUAAAAAAAAUGAUUGUGACCUCGAUGUUGAAUUAUAUUUUCUUUAUUAAUGCAAUAAUUAUAAAAGUAGAUCUGUUCGAUCUUUAAAAUAUUACAUGAUUUGAGUUCAAACCGGUGUAAACCAGGUUGGUUUCUAUCUUUUUAUAAAUUCAUAUAUAUAUAUAUAUAUACAUAAAUUUUUCAAGUACGAAAGGAAAAAAAAAUUUUUAUUUUAAUUAAUUAGCAAUUAAUAUGCAUUAGAUUUAGAAUCUAAAUAAACUAUUAUU
This 525-nucleotide unclassified non-coding RNA is filed under the name Anelosimus eximius. Its description in RNAcentral is "partial contains 16S ribosomal RNA and tRNA-Leu (trnL)". The stretch from base 104 to 401 matches the Rfam family "Bacterial large subunit ribosomal RNA", at positions 2074 to 2646 of the family's 2925-position model. Lineage: Eukaryota; Metazoa; Arthropoda; Arachnida; Araneae; Theridiidae. The record is from RNAcentral.